GACGAACGCUGGCGGCGUGCUUAACACAUGCAAGUCGAACGGAAAGGCCCUGCUUUUGUGGGGUGCUCGAGUGGCGAACGGGUGAGUAACACGUGAGUAACCUGCCCUUGACUUUGGGAUAACUUCAGGCAACUGGGGCUAAUACCGGAUAGGAGCUCCUGCUGCAUGGUGGGGGUUGGAAAGUUUCGGCGGUUGGGGGUGGACUCGCGGCUUAUCAGCUUGUUGGUGGGGUAGUGGCUUACCAAGGCUUUGACGGGUAGCCGGCCUGAGAGGGUGACCGGCCACAUUGGGACUGAGAUACGGCCCAGACUCGUACGGGAGGCAGCAGUGGGGAAGAUUGCACAAUGGGCGGAAGCCUGAUGCAGCAACGCCGCGUGCGGGAUGACGGCCUUCGGUUUGUAAACCGCUUUCGCCUGGGACGAAGCGUGAGUGACGGUAAUGGGUAAAGAAGCACCGGCUAACUACGUG
Molecule: ribosomal RNA, 468 nt
Filed under: uncultured bacterium
Lineage: Bacteria
Description: partial 16S ribosomal RNA
Rfam family: Bacterial small subunit ribosomal RNA
Source: RNAcentral